AACCGCAACCGGAUCUUAUAGGC
This 23-nucleotide non-coding RNA is filed under the name Arabidopsis thaliana (thale cress). Lineage: Eukaryota; Viridiplantae; Streptophyta; Magnoliopsida; Brassicales; Brassicaceae. The record is from RNAcentral.